RNAcentral lists this ribosomal RNA (194 nucleotides) under uncultured eukaryote. RNAcentral's name for it is "partial 18S ribosomal RNA". It matches the Rfam family "Eukaryotic small subunit ribosomal RNA", at positions 1 to 196 of the family's 1831-position model. The record is from RNAcentral.
GUAACCUGGUUGAUCCUGCCAGUAGUUAUAUGCUUGUCUCAAAGGUUAAGCCAUGCAUGUCUCAGUAUGAGUGCUUCUACGGCGAAACUGCGAAUGGCUCAUUAAAUCAGUUACGGUUUAUUUGAUGACUUGUGACACGGAUAACUGGGGAAAUUCUUCAGCCAAUACGUGCUUCUAAGCCGACUUUGUGGAAG